CUGAGAUUUCAACAAGGAAACACCACGUCUCACACUUUUUCCCUGUAUUUCAGUGAGUAGAAAUAGUUUGGCUGAUAAGAUGAUACAGAGCCGGGAACCAAGACAACCCACAUGGAGACAUCUACAGUUGUUAUCUAGGAAAGCAGGGAAUAACCCAUUCUGGUCUUUUCAUUGGCCCCGGGCAGCAAAGGAGGUGCCCCACUCUGGUCUGUUUACUGAUGGAGCCAUACAACCUUCAACUUCUUAAUAAUUAUCUUGACUGCGCUCCAAGAGAUUUAAUGGCUUAUUUUAACACUCAUCUCCUUUCCUGUGUCUUUCCACAACUUCGUCUCUUGGUUCUUUUGAAAAUUCCCCAGUGCCAUUAGUUGAGUGAUUGCUUUUCAGUGGUCCACCCAAUGGAGGGAACUUUCAGGAACUGCAGAAUGCAUCCUGAAAUGAUGCAAGUCACUACAUUUUAACACUGGUGGAAGCAAAUUAAAUUGCUGUGAGGUUUUUAAGGUGAUUGGUUACGCCUGGGCUGUUUUAGGAUUUCUCAUGCAUGUGAGGUGAAGACUUAUCCAAUUAAAAUAUUUCCUUUUAUUAUUUUUAAUAGAUAAUUUCAUAACAAUGAAAAAAAUCCCCAAAGUUUUGUGAAGAAUGGUGUGUAGAUAAGUCGUUUUAUGCAUUUAAUCUUAUUUAAAUGCAUAAAACUCUGAGGCAGUGACACGACAACGUGUGAUGAUGUUCGAGCGGGUCUGGAUUUACAUGUUUCACCCUCAUCUGUUUUCAUUUUGGC
Esox lucius (northern pike) is the source of this 775-nucleotide long non-coding RNA. RefSeq lists it as uncharacterized. The record is from RefSeq and is a predicted model, not a curated record. Lineage: Eukaryota; Metazoa; Chordata; Actinopteri; Esociformes; Esocidae. The transcript has 3 exons.